AUUGAACGCUGGCGGCAGGCCUAACACAUGCAAGUCGAGCGAGCGGCGGACGGGUGAGUAGUGUCUCGGAAACUGCCUGAUGGAUGAGGAUAACUACUGGAAACGGUAGCUAAUUCCGUAUACCAUCAGCUGGGCCGAGAUGGGAUUAGCUAGUAGGUGGGGUAAAGGCUCACCUAGGCGACGAUCCCUAGCUGGUCUGAGAGGAUGCCCAGCCACACUGGAACUGAGACACGGUCCAGACUCCUACGGGAGGCAGCAGUGGGGAAUAUUGCACAAUGGGCGCAAGCCUGAUGCAGCCAUGCCGCGUGUAUGAAGAAGGCCUUCGGGUUGUAAAGUACUUUCAGCGGGGAGGCGUUACCCGCAGAAGAAGCACCGGCUAACUCCGUGCCAGCAGCCGCGGUAAUUC
This 406-nucleotide ribosomal RNA is filed under the name uncultured bacterium. RNAcentral's name for it is "partial 16S ribosomal RNA". It matches the Rfam family "Bacterial small subunit ribosomal RNA", at positions 30 to 526 of the family's 1533-position model. The record is from RNAcentral.